This 1019-nucleotide ribosomal RNA is filed under the name uncultured archaeon. Its description in RNAcentral is "bacterial SSU rRNA". It matches the Rfam family "Archaeal small subunit ribosomal RNA", at positions 382 to 1405 of the family's 1478-position model. The record is from RNAcentral.
CGAGUGCGAGGGCAUAUAGCCCUCGCUUUUCUGUACCGUAAGGUGGUACAGGAACAAGGACUGGGCAAGACCGGUGCCAGCCGCCGCGGUAAUACCGGCAGUCCAAGUGAUGGCCGAUAUUAUUGGGCUAAAGCGUCCGUAGCCGGCCGGACAAGUCCGUUGGGAAAUCGACGCGCUCAACGCGUCGGCGUCCAGCGGAAACUGUCCGGCUUGGGGCCGGAAGACAUGAGGGGUACGUCCGGGGUAGGAGUGAAAUCCUAUAAUCCUGGACGGACCACCAAUGGGGAAACCACCUCAGGAAGACGGACCCGACGGUGAGGGACGAAAGCUAGGGUCUCGAACCGGAUUAGAUACCCGGGUAGUCCUAGCCGUAAACGAUGCUCGCUAGGUGUGCCGUAGGCUACGAGCCUGCGCUGCGCCCUAGGGAAGCCGAGAAGCGAGCCGCCUGGGAAGUACGUCUGCAAGGAUGAAACUUAAAGGAAUUGGCGGGGGAGCACCACAACCGGAGGAGCCUGCGGUUUAAUUGGACUCAACGCCGGACAUCUCACCGGUCCCGACAGUAGUGAUGACGGUCAGGUUGACGACUUUACUCGACGCUACUGAGAGGAGGUGCAUGGCCGCCGUCAGCUCGUACCGUGAGGCGUCCUGUUAAGUCAGGCAACGAGCGAGACCCACACUUCUAGUUGCCAGCAACACCCCUGUGGUGGUUGGGUACACUAGGAGGACUGCCGCUGCUAAAGCGGAGGAAGGAAUGGGCAACGGUAGGUCAGUAUGCCCCGAAUGGACCGGGCAACACGCGGGCUACAAUGGCUCUGACAGUGGGAUGCAACGCCGAGAGGCGAAGCUAAUCUCCAAACGGAGUCGUAGUUCGGAUUGCGGACUGAAACUCGUCCGCAUGAAGCUGGAUUCGGUAGUAAUCGCGUGUCAUAAGCGCGCGGUGAAUACGUCCCUGCUCCUUGCACACACCGCCCGUCAAAGCACCCGAGUGGGGUCCGGAUGAGGCCAUCAUGCGAUGGUCG